RNAcentral lists this ribosomal RNA (428 nucleotides) under uncultured Acidobacterium sp. Its description in RNAcentral is "bacterial SSU rRNA". It matches the Rfam family "Bacterial small subunit ribosomal RNA", at positions 958 to 1385 of the family's 1533-position model. The record is from RNAcentral. Lineage: Bacteria; Pseudomonadati; Acidobacteriota; Terriglobia; Terriglobales; Acidobacteriaceae.
AACGCGAAGAACCUUACCUGGGCUCGAAAUGCUACGGACCAGCUUAUGAAAGUUUGCCUUCCCGCAAGGGACCGUAGUAUAGGUGCUGCAUGGCUGUCGUCAGCUCGUGUCGUGAGAUGUUGGGUUAAGUCCCGCAACGAGCGCAACCCUUGUCCUGUGUUGCCAUACCGAAAGGUGGAACUCGCAGGAGACCGCCAGGGAUAACCUGGAGGAAGGUGGGGAUGACGUCAAGUCCUCAUGGCCUUUAUGUCCAGGGCUACACACGUGCUACAAUGGACGGUACAAAGGGUCGCCAACCCGCGAGGGGGAGCCAAUCCCAAAAAACCGUUCUCAGUUCGGAUUGCAGGCUGCAACUCGCCUGCAUGAAGCUGGAAUCGCUAGUAAUGGCGGAUCAGAACGCCGCCGUGAAUACGUUCCCGGGCCUUGUA